CCUACGGGUGGUAGCAGUGAGGAAUAUUGGUCAAUGGACGGAAGUCUGAACCAGCCAUGCCGCGUGCAGGAUGACGGCUCUAUGAGUUGUAAACUGCUUUUGUAUUAGGGUAAACACCCCUACGUGUAGGGGCUUGAAAGUAUAAUACGAAUAAGGAUCGGCUAACUCCGUGCCAGCAGCCGCGGUAAUACGGAGGAUCCAAGCGUUAUCCGGAUUUAUUGGGUUUAAAGGGUGCUUAGGCGGUUUGAUAAGUUAGAGGUGAAAUGCCCCCGCUCAACGGGGUGAAGUGCCAUUGAUACUGCCUUGCUGGAAUGCGGAUGCCGUGGGAGGAAUGUGUGGUGUAGCGGUGAAAUGCAUAGAUAUCACACAGAACACCGAUUGCGAAGGCAUCUCACGAAUCCGCGAUUGACGCUGAUGCACGAAAGCGUGGGUAUCAAACAGGAUUAGAUACCCGGGUAGUC
RNAcentral lists this ribosomal RNA (461 nucleotides) under uncultured bacterium. Its description in RNAcentral is "partial 16S ribosomal RNA". It matches the Rfam family "Bacterial small subunit ribosomal RNA", at positions 338 to 795 of the family's 1533-position model. The record is from RNAcentral.